This 478-nucleotide ribosomal RNA is filed under the name uncultured bacterium. RNAcentral's name for it is "partial 16S ribosomal RNA". It matches the Rfam family "Bacterial small subunit ribosomal RNA", at positions 28 to 507 of the family's 1533-position model. The record is from RNAcentral.
GACGAACGCUGGCGGCGUGCAUAACACAUGCAAGUCGAACGGGAUUUAGUAAACAGACACCUCGGUGGAAGAUUACUAAUGAGAGUGGCGAACGGGUGAGUAACGCGUGAGCAACCUGCCUAUGACAGUGGGAUAGCCUCGGGAAACCGGGAUUAAUACCGCAUAAAAUCGUAGAAACACAUGUUUUAACGGUCAAAGAUUUAUCGGUCAUAGAUGGGCUCGCGUCUGAUUAGCUAGUUGGUGAGAUAACAGCCCACCAAGGCGACGAUCAGUAGCCGGUCUGAGAGGAUGAACGGCCACAUUGGAACUGAGACACGGUCCAAACUCCUACGGGAGGCAGCAGUGGGGAAUAUUGCACAAUGGGGGAAACCCUGAUGCAGCGACGCCGCGUGAACGAAGAAGGUAUUCGUAUCGUAAAGUUCUGUCCUAUGGGAAGAUAAUGACAGUACCAUAGAAGAAAGCUCCGGCUAAAUACGUG